CUGGCGCAGCGAUACAGGCAAAUGUCGACAAAAAUCAACAUUACGCAUUCGAAGAUCUCUUGUGCCAGUAUGUUUUGAGGAAUGGACGGAACAGUGAAAGUGCUCUCAAUCUGAGAAGGAAAUUUCUAGAGAAUGGCAUGAAGGAAUAUGCUGACGUCAUCAAAGCAGAACUAGAGAAGUUUAGAAUUCCUGUCCCGUCAGACAAAGAAACACUCAAGGACUGACUUGUAUCCUCCCCGAGCCAUCCUUGCGGCACACCAGUUGCAUGGAAGUAAGUGAUGAAUUUGACAAGAUCUUGCGGAGGGUAGCCGAGUUUAUGAGUGAUGAUUAAGAAAUCGACCGCCUUGCUUCGGAACUGGACGUCAGCGUACCAGAUACCGAACGCUUCAUCCGAAAAAUGAUGGCGUCACUUGGAGAGGUACCCUCGACAUGCUGAGGACAUGGCGCAAAAGGGUUGAUAAAUCGCAGGAACGUGUAAGACUUAGGGCUGCUCUACUUAGGGCUGAACAGAUUAACCUUGUGAGCACCCUACUACCAGAAGAGGAGGAUUAAUAAUUGAAGAGAAAGAUGAGUUCUGAGAAAGGUGGAAAAUGAUUUUGAGCCCCUUUCUUCUAUUCUCUUUAUGUUAGUGUGAAAAAUAACAUAGUUUAAAAAAUCCCCUGAAAAAAAGGGGCACUUCAAAAAACCCUUACAUUCGAAAUAUACCAAGGAACAGAUGAACUGUUCAGACAAAAUUUAAUGCCACAUGUGUGUGUAAUCCCAUAUACACAUUUCUAUUUACAAUGCACGUGACAUCCAGCUAGACUGUUUUAGCUGUCGAUGAUUCCGGUAGUACACCAAUUCCUAAGUGCUACAUAAUCAACCUUUUCAAAUUGUUAAAGCUCCUCUCCCCAAUGUUUUCAUAUUUCCCUUUUUUAAAUCGCGACGGACAUGGAAAACGAAUGCAAAUAACCCCAAGUUCCUCAAGUCUCCCUAAACCUUAUUUUAGGCCCGCUACUGCACAUGACCACCUUUUUACAGGAGUUAGCUAGAUUUCAACCCACAUCGACAUGGGAUGACGAGUGACGAAGCAGAACUAACUGAACUACAGCACAAAAUAGCACUUUGUUACAAUAUUUUGUUCAACAAGUCAGGUUACCCCCAGAACAGUGUUCAUAUUGUCCUGAGUGAAUCUUCUUGUUCAAAAUGUGUUUUGUUUGUCUGGUGUUUUUGUUUUUUAAACGUAAACGUGCUUUCACUGAGGUAUUUGUCUCAAAACUGUUUACAGCUAGUAACACCAGAGGUGACAGUAGCGUCUCUAGAUAUUGUGGCACCUGUUUUGUGGCACCAUUGUUUGUGAUUGAAUUAUUACAAGUUUCUCUUUUUUUAUGUUUCAUUUUUAUUUUGUUACAUUAUCCCAUGUUCUUUCAAACAAAUAGUGGCUUCUAAAAAUAUAUUAUUGGCUGACGAAAUAUUCCUUGUCUCAUAUUCAAUGUGUCAUAUUUUAUACCACAGUACUUCUACAUCUUCCCCGUUCAGUGUUUAAAACUCGAUUAAAUUUCAUUAUACAAAUAGGGGAAUGACCCAGCUGUCUUUCCCUUUCUUUUUCUACGUAAGAAAGGAGUUUUUAUAUUCAUUGCAUUGAAAUGAUGUACGGCUGUAUAUGCAUAGUUUGUUUGAUUAAAAAUGCAUUAGACGUA
RNAcentral lists this long non-coding RNA (1679 nucleotides) under Strongylocentrotus purpuratus (purple sea urchin). Its description in RNAcentral is "uncharacterized LOC115924569". Lineage: Eukaryota; Metazoa; Echinodermata; Echinoidea; Camarodonta; Strongylocentrotidae. The record is from RNAcentral.